CGACGUUAGCUCAGAGGAAAGAGCAGCGGCAUGUACGCAGGUCGCCGGUUCGAGUCCGGCACGUCGACCA
RNAcentral lists this transfer RNA (70 nucleotides) under Lysobacter sp. Root559. Its description in RNAcentral is "tRNA-His". The record is from RNAcentral. Lineage: Bacteria; Pseudomonadati; Pseudomonadota; Gammaproteobacteria; Lysobacterales; Lysobacteraceae. RNAcentral also lists the same sequence under 3 other names.